CCUACGGGCGGCAGCAGUGAGGAAUAUUGGUCAAUGGACGAGAGUCUGAACCAGCCAAGUAGCGUGAAGGAUGACUGCCCUAUGGGUUGUAAACUUCUUUUAUAUGGGAAUAAAAUGUUCCACGUGUGGGAUUUUGUAUGUACCAUAUGAAUAAGUAUCGGCUAACCCCGUGCCAGCAGCCGCGGUACUACGGAGGAUCCGAGCGUUAUCCGGAUUUAUUGGGUUUAAAGGGAGCGUAGGUGGAUUGUUAAGUCAGUUGUGAAAGUUUGCGGCUCAACCGUAAAAUUGCAGUUGAAACUGGCAGUCGUGAGUACAGUAGAGGUGGGCGGAAUUCGUGGUGUAGCGGUGAAAUGCUUAGAUAUCACGAAGAACUCCGAUUGCGAAGGCAGCUCACUGGACUGCAACUGACACUGAGGCUCGAAAGUGUGGGUAUCAAACAGGAUUAGAUACCCCUGUAGUC
Molecule: ribosomal RNA, 460 nt
Filed under: uncultured bacterium
Lineage: Bacteria
Description: partial 16S ribosomal RNA
Rfam family: Bacterial small subunit ribosomal RNA
Source: RNAcentral